AUAAAAGGAAGCGAACUAAGGGCGUAUGGCGGAUGCCUAGGCUCUCGGAGGCUACGAAGGACGUGGUAAGCUGCGAAAAGCUACGGGGAGGUGCAAACGACCUAUAAUCCGUAGAUGUCCGAAUGGGGCAACCCAUCAGGUUGAAGACCUGAUUUAUAGCGAACGCGGGGAACUGAAACAUCUAAGUACCCGUAGGAAAGGAGAUCAAUAGAGAUUCCGCAAGUAGUGGCGAGCGAACGCGGACGAGCCCAUAAAGUCUAUAUAGUUUUAGUUGAACAUACUGGAAAGUAUGACCCAAGGAGGUGACAGUCCUGUAGACGAAAAGGUUAUAUAGAUGAAGACGAGUAGGGCGGAACCGGAGAAAUUCUGUCUGAAGUUGCCAGCACCAUCUGGUAAGGCUAGAUACUCCCGAGAGACCGAUAGUGAACCAGUACCGUGAGGGAAAGGUGAAAAGAACCCCAAGAAGGGGAGUGAAAAGACCCUGAAACCAUACGCUUACAAGCGGUCGGAGCCUCGCCAAUGGCGGGUGACGGCGUGCCUUUUGCAUAAUGAUCCUACGAGUUACACUUUUCUAGCAAGUUUAAGUGCCUUGAGGCACGGAGGCGCAGCGAAAGCGAGUCUGAAUAGGGCGAUCAUAGCUAGAGGAGGUAGACGCGAAACCCGGUGAUCUACCCAUGGGCAGGUUGAAGUGUCGAUAGUCUCGACAUGGAGGACCGAACCAGUACAUGUUGAAAAAUGUUUGGAUGACCUGUGGGUAGGGGUGAAAGGCCAAUCAAACCGGGAGAUAGCUCGUACUCCCCGAAAUGCAUUUAGGUGCAGCGUUGAUUUAGAGUGUCAUGGAGGUAGAGCUACUGAUAGGGCUAGGGGGCUUCACCGCCUACCAACCCCUGACAAACUCCGAAUACCAUGACAUGUUUAUCAGCAGUGAGGCUACGGGUGCUAAGGUCCGUGGCCGAGAGGGAAACAACCCAGAUCAACAGCUAAGGUCCCUAAAUAUAUACUAAGUUGAAUGAACGAGGUGAGGAUGCUAAGACAGCUAGGAUGUUGGCUUGGAAGCAGCCAUUCAUUUAAAGAGUGCGUAACAGCUCACUAGUCGAGCGUUCUUGCGCGGAAAAUGAUCGGGCAUCAAGUAUAUUACCGAAGCUAUGGCUUCUAACGUAAGUUAGAGGGGUAGGGGAGCAUUCCAAUGGAGUUGAAGUUGUCACGUGAGUGAUGGUGGAUUAAUUGGAAAAGAAAAUGUAGGAAUGAGUAACGAUAAAAUAGGUGAGAAACCUAUUCGCCGUAAGACUAAGGAUUCCUAGAUCGAUGUUAAUCAGAUCAGGGUUAGUCGGGACCUAAGGAUAACCCGAAAGGGGAAGCCGAUGGAAAACGGGUUAAUAUUCCCGUACCGGUGUAUAUUGCGAUGGGGUGACGAAGGUGCGUAAGAUCUGCCAGCUGACGGAUGCUGGUUGAAGUGUUUAGGUGAUGAGAUCGAUAGUUAAAUGCGUCGAUUGAGCUGAGGCACGAUAGUACUGCUGGGCAGCGAUGCCUGGCAGAUAAUGAUCCCAAGCGGACUUCCAAGAAAAACCUCUAAGCUUCAGAUAUACUACCGCCCGUACCGUAAACCGACACAGGUAGUCGAGGAGAGCAUCCUCAGGCGCUCGAGUGAUUCGUGGCUAAGGAACUAGGCAAAAUGGUCUCGUAACUUCGGGAGAAGAGACGCUCUGUAAUUAUAUGGAGCCGCAGUGAAGAGGCCCAGGCGACUGUUUAUAAACGGCGGCCGUAACUAUAACGGUCCUAAGGUAGCGAAAUUCCUUGUCGGGUAAGUUCCGACCUGCACGAAUGGUGCAACGAUCUGGGCACUGUCUCAGCCACGAGCUCGGUGAAAUUGAAGUAUCGGUGAAGAUGCCGGUUACCCGCAGCGGGACGAAAAGACCCCGUGAACCUUUACUACAGCUUCACAUUGGAUUUGGAUAUAACAUGUGUAGGAUAGCUGGGAGACAUUGAGUCUGCAUCGCCAGAUGUGGAGGAGUCGUUGGUGAAAUACCAGCCUUGUUUUAUUUAAAUUCUAAUCUGCGAAAGCGGAGACAUUGUGUGGUGGGUAGUUUGACCCUCGAUGUCGGCUCGUCACAUCCUGGGGCUGGAGAAGGUCCCAAGGGUUGGGCUGUUCGCCCAUUAAAGUGGCACGCGAGCUGGGUUCAGAACGUCGCAAGACAGUUCGGUCUCUAUCUGCUGUGGGCGUAGGAAUAUUGAGGAGAUCUGACACUAGUACGAGAGGACCGUGUUGGACAGACCUCUAGUGUACCAGUUGUGCCGCCAGGUGCAUUGCUGGGUAGCUAUGUUUGGCAAGGAUAAGCGCUGAAAGCAUCUAAGCGCGAAGCCUACUCCAAGAUGAGUAUUCCCUAAGGGUCGUUCAAGAUGAGGACGUAGAUAGGCCAUAGGUGGAAGUGCUGUGAAGUAUGAAGCCGAGUGGUACUAAUUACCCAUGAGCUUCCUUUUUU
Molecule: ribosomal RNA, 2480 nt
Filed under: Gammaproteobacteria bacterium
Lineage: Bacteria; Pseudomonadati; Pseudomonadota; Gammaproteobacteria
Description: 23S ribosomal RNA
Rfam family: Bacterial large subunit ribosomal RNA
Source: RNAcentral